This 82-nucleotide transfer RNA is filed under the name Blastobotrys adeninivorans. Its description in RNAcentral is "tRNA Ser (GCT) score". It matches the Rfam family "tRNA". Rfam says of the family: Transfer RNA (tRNA) molecules are approximately 80 nucleotides in length. Their secondary structure includes four short double-helical elements and three loops (D, anti-codon, and T loops). Lineage: Eukaryota; Fungi; Ascomycota; Dipodascomycetes; Dipodascales; Trichomonascaceae. The record is from RNAcentral.
GUCCCGGUGGCCGAGUGGUUAAGGCGACUCCCUGCUAAGGAGUUGGGUUCCGCCCGCGCAGGUUCGAAUCCUGUCCGUGACG